Molecule: ribosomal RNA, 225 nt
Filed under: uncultured bacterium
Lineage: Bacteria
Description: partial 16S ribosomal RNA
Rfam family: Bacterial small subunit ribosomal RNA
Source: RNAcentral
UGGUUUAAUUCGAAGCAACGCGAAGAACCUUACCAAAUCUUGACAUCCUUUGACAACUCUAGAGAUAGAGCUUUCCCUUCGGGGGACAAAGUGACAGGUGGUGCAUGGUUGUCGUCAGCUCGUGUCGUGAGAUGUUGGGUUAAGUCCCGCAACGAGCGCAACCCUUAAGCUUAGUUGCCAUCAUUAAGUUGGGCACUCUAAGUUGACUGCCGGUGACAAACCGGA